RNAcentral lists this ribosomal RNA (262 nucleotides) under uncultured archaeon. RNAcentral describes it as "partial 16S ribosomal RNA". It matches the Rfam family "Archaeal small subunit ribosomal RNA", at positions 748 to 1008 of the family's 1478-position model. The record is from RNAcentral.
CAGCCGUAAACUAUGCGCGUUAGGUGUACUGGUGACCACGAGUCACCGGGGUGCCGAAGGGAAACCGCGAAACGUGCCGCCUGGGAAGUACGGUCGCAAGGCUGAAACUUAAAGGAAUUGGCGGGGGGAGCACCACAACGGGUGGAGCCUGCGGUUUAAUUGGACUCAACGCCGGAAAUCUCACCGGAUAGGACAGACAUAUGAUAGUCGGGCUGAAGACUCUACUUGAUGAUCUGAGAGGUGGUGCAUGGCGUCAGUGACU